This 383-nucleotide ribosomal RNA is filed under the name uncultured bacterium. RNAcentral describes it as "bacterial SSU rRNA". It matches the Rfam family "Bacterial small subunit ribosomal RNA", at positions 28 to 412 of the family's 1533-position model. The record is from RNAcentral.
GACGAACGCUGGCGGCGUGCUUAACACAUGCAAGUCGAGCGGUAAGGCCCUUUCGGGGGUACACGAGCGGCGAACGGGUGAGUAACACGUGGGUGACCUGCCCUCAGCUCUGGGAUAAGCCUGGGAAACCGGGUCUAAUACCGGAUAUGACUCCAUGACGCAUGUUGUGGGGUGGAAAGCCUUGUGCGGCUGAGGAUGGGCCCGCGGCCUAUCAGCUUGUUGGUGGGGUGANGGCCUACCAAGGCGACGACGGGUGGCCGGCCUGAGAGGGCGACCGGCCACACUGGGACUGAGACACGGCCCAGACUCCUACGGGAGGCAGCAGUGGGGAAUCUUGCGCAAUGGGCGAAAGCCUGACGCAGCGACGCCGCGUGAGGGAUGAC